AUGUUUGGUGCAAAAAAGCGCUUUCGCUUUGAGCUUUACUGGACAAAGCUGGAGGGCUUCGAAGACGCUGUCAGAGAGGCUUGGGUUUGCAAUAAUGAGAUCUUCGAUCCGUUCAAAAGGCUGGAUGCGUUGUUCAGGAACACGACAUCCUACCUGCAAGCUUGGGGGCAGAGAAAGACCGGGAACAUCAAAAUGCUCAUGAAAAUUGCAAAUUGGCUGAUUGCGAGAUUUGAUAGAGCUCAGGAGGUGAGACACAUAUCUCAGUUGGAAACGUGGCUGCGCAGAACUUUGAAGCUCUCAUUGCUUGGAUUAGCGUACCAUAGACAGGCAAAGAUCCCGGAUCCGUUGGCUUAG
RNAcentral lists this ribosomal RNA (354 nucleotides) under Triticum aestivum (bread wheat). RNAcentral describes it as "partial small subunit ribosomal RNA". Lineage: Eukaryota; Viridiplantae; Streptophyta; Magnoliopsida; Poales; Poaceae. The record is from RNAcentral.